Molecule: long non-coding RNA, 3149 nt
Filed under: Sus scrofa (pig)
Lineage: Eukaryota; Metazoa; Chordata; Mammalia; Artiodactyla; Suidae
Description: lncRNA (ENSSSCG00000056575.1)
Source: RNAcentral
AACGCAAACUUGCACCCAUCCCGAUCCUUGUCUGUGGCCCUGUUUUCUAUUCCCGACCAGAAAACCACCUCCUCAUCACUCCCAAAGGUGGGGCCAAUCACGUGGGCAUGAGCCGACUAUGUCGCCCCUCUGCCUGGAAAAGCCAUGACAGCUAUUUUUUUUUUCCUCCUUUGCCCAAAACACUAUCUCGGCUAUAGACAGCGGCAGGGUUUUGACAGCACCCUCAGAGAACAAUCUAGAUGGACGUCAGCCUCAGCCUUGGGGUGUCUUUCUCCCAGAAACCUCCCUCCUCCUCCCGGCUGCUUGUGGCCACAGCUCAGGGCCUCCCAUUCGUCUGUCCCUCUUGGAUCCAGACUCUUCAUCUCAUGAGGUUUCGUCCUGUACCACCAGAUGCACCGAUUCUCGUGUUAUGACGUGGACACACUUUUUCUCCCUACUUGGUGAUGUGUAUGUUUGGGUCGUUGUCCCAAAGGCUAGAAUAUAAUAACAAGCCAGAAGCGGCUUUCAUUUCUGCAGUUCUUCCUGGUUAAUUGGAUGGAAAGGGAGAAGCUGUUAAUUUCCCAGGAAGAGUGCGUCCAGAAGGGAGUUCCCUGGUGGUCUAGGGGUUCAGACUCGGUACUUUCACAUCUGUGGCCCAUAUUCAAUCCCUGGCCUGGGAAUGGAGAUCCCACGUCAGUUCUCUGCGUGCCACAGGAAAAAAAAAAUAAAUCCAAAAAUGAACACAUGAAAAAAAACCCUCUAAACAAAUAUAAGAUUGAUGGUUUUAGAUUGAAUGAUAGUUUUGAGAUUUUAAUGUUUUAAUAUCCGAUGAGGUUUAACUAACUUUUCGUCUGCUUUCACUGAGAUGUCCAGCAGAGUCAAGUGACUUUCCUCCCGAAAUGACGUCCACACUAAAUGUAGUGAAGCUCCGUCAUCUCCUGUAGAAACAGAGGAGAAAAAAUUUUUCCUUGUGAUAAGAGCUCUUACGAUUUAAAAAAAACAUAUUUUCCCAAUAGAAUAUCUUUUCUACUGUACGGCACGGUGACCCAGUUAUCCAUACAUGUACCCACUCUCAUUUCUCCCAUGCUUACGCUCCAUCAUAAAUGACGAGACAUAGUUCUCAGUGCUCCACAGCAGGACCUCAUUGCUCAUCCAUUCCAAAGGCAAUAGUUUGCAUCCAAGAACCCCAAGUUCCCCAAACACCCCACCGGGCAACCACAAGUCUGUUCUCCAAGUCCACGAUUUUCUUGUCUGUGGAAAGGUCCAAUUGUGCCAUAUAGUAGAUAUCAGAUAUGUGAUGUCAUAUGGUAUUUCGUUGUCUUUCUGACUUCACUCUGGAUGAGUCUCUAGUUCCAUCCAUGUUGCUGCAAAUGGCAUAGUUUUUUCAUUUUUAUGGCUGAGUAGUAUUCCAUUGAGUAUAUAUACCACAUCUUCCUAAUUCAAUCAUGUGUUGAUGGACAUUUGGGUUGCUUGCAUGUCUUGGCUAUUGGGAAUAGAGCCUCAAUGAACAUGCAGGUGCAGGUGUGUUUUUCAAGGACAGUUUUGUCCAGAUAAAUGCCCAAGAGGGGGACUGCUGGGUUGUUCUAUGUAUAGUUUUCUAAGGUACCUCCAUACUGUUACUCUCCACAGUGGUUGUACCAGCUUCCAUUCCCACCGGCAGUGCAGGAGGGGUCCCUUUUGUCCACACCCCCUCCAGCACUUGCUAUUUGUGGACGUAUGAAUGACGGCCAUUCUGACUGGUGCGAGGUGGUAUCUCGUGGUCGUGUUGGUUGGCGUUUCUCUACUCAUCAGGGAUGUGGAGGGUUUUUUCAUGUGCUUGUUGGCCAUCUGUCUGUCUUCCCUGGAGAAAUGUCUAUUGCGGUCUCUUGCCCGUUUUUCCAUUGGGUGGUUGGCUUUUUUGCUGUUGUAUAAGGUGUUUGUGUAUUGUAGAGAUUGUGCUCUUGCCAGUUGCAUCAUUUGAAAGGAUUUUCUCCCAUUGUGUAAGGUUUCUUUUUAGUUUUCUUUGCUGUGCAAGAUCUUGUCCGUUUGAUGAGGUCCCAUUGGUUUAUUUCAACUUUUAUGUCUGUUUCUUUGGGAGACCUGUGAAAACAUUUGUAAGGUUGAUGUCAGAGAAUGCUUUGCCUGUGUUCUCUUCCAGGAAUUGGGCGGUGUCUUGUCUUGUCUUUAAGUGUUUCAUCCAUGUUGAGCUUCUUGUUCGUGGCGUGAGGGUGGGUUCUAGUUUGGUUGAUUUGCACGUAGCUGUCCCGGUUUCCCAACAAUGUUUGCUGAAAAGCCUGUCUUUUUCCCAUUUUAUAUUCUUGCCUCAUUUGUCAAACCCAUUGACCUUAGGUGUCUGGGUUUAAUUCUGUGGUUUUGUUAAUUCGGUGUGUCGUGUGUGGGUGUUAAUGGCAUUGAUCAUGUACAUUUUGCCCAGGACUAGUUUAUUUCAUACCUGAAAGCUGGUACCUUCUCCCCUCCAGCCUCUGGGAACCACAGAUCUCAUCUCUUUCACUGUGAGGGUGUUUUUGGAACAAAAUUAACCUUCAGCACUUGUUUUGUUCCUACUACACAACAUGGUGACUUGAGAGUACUUUUUCUUUUUCUUUUUUUUUUUUUGCUUUUUUGCAGCCACACCUGCAGCAUAUGGAGGUUGCCAGACGAGGGGUCAAAUGAAAGUCACAGCUGCCAGUCCACACCACAGCCACCCCAGAUCCCACCACAUGUGUGACCAACACCAAAGCUCACGGCAACGCCAGAUCCUUAACCCCCUGAGUGAGGCCAGGGAUCAAACCCACAACCUCAUGGAUCCUAGUCAGGUUCCUUAUCACUGAGCCACGAGGGGAACUCCCCCAUCUCAUUUGCUACGAGUUGGUGUCUGGAAUAGAACUGGCCAUCUGCACUGUUUUAGUGCCUGUUACACAGCAGAGCGACUCCCUAUUUCUACACACACCCGAUCCCUCCGUUUGCCUUCAGGCCCUCAGGCCUCCUGUUGGCUCUGAAAAGUCACACGAGUCUGCAGAGCUGCAAAGAAUAUAUUCCCCCCGUUUUCUUCCAGUUUUGAGGUAGAAGACACACAGCACCGGGUUAGCCUCACGAGUCCAGCAUGGCCAUGUGACUUACAUCGUGAGAUGACGGCUAGAACAAUUUUAGGGAACAUCUAUCAUUUCCUGGAGAAACCCAAUUCAACACUG